Molecule: ribosomal RNA, 1770 nt
Filed under: Triticum aestivum (bread wheat)
Lineage: Eukaryota; Viridiplantae; Streptophyta; Magnoliopsida; Poales; Poaceae
Description: partial small subunit ribosomal RNA
Source: RNAcentral
AUGGCGGACGCGGACGCCGACGCCGACGUCUGCGCCAUCUGCCUCGGCGGCAUGGUCCGCGGCCAGGCCGGCUUCACGGCCGAGUGCUCCCACGCCUUCCACCUCCGCUGCAUCUCCGCCAGCGUCGCGCACGGCAACCACGACUGCCCGCUCUGCAAGGCGCCCUGGACCGUCCUCCCCGCCGUCAACGCCCCACCGCCGUCGUCGUCGUCGUCUUCCCGGCAGGUGCGACGCACGUACCAGGACGACGAGCCGACCGUCCCCGCACAGGCCGCGGCGGCAAAUAAUGGCGGAUCAGGAGCCGGGGUGGUCCUCAGGACGCACUGCGAGUUCCCGGCCCUGGCCAGGGGCGCGGCCCGCGAGCACUUCGCCGUGCUCGUGCACGCCAAGGCGCCGUCCUCCGAGGCGGCGCGCGCGUCGCUCGACCUCGUGACCGUGCUCGACGUCAGCGGCAGCAUGGCCGGCAGCAAGCUGGCUCUGCUCAAGAAGGCCAUGGGGUUCGUCAUCGACAACCUCGGCCCGGCCGACCGCCUCUCCGUCGUGUCCUUCUCCAACAACGCCAGCCGCCUGAUCCGCCUCUCGCGCAUGUCCGACACGGGGAAAGCCGCGGCGAAGCAGGCCGUGGGGUCCCUCGUCGCGAACGGCGCCACGAACAUCGGCGAGGGCCUCCGCGUGGCUGCCGACGUGCUUGACUGCCGCCGGCACGUGAACGCCGUCGCCAGUAUCAUGCUUCUCUCCGAUGGGCAGGACACGUACACCGCGGCUGGCGGAGACGCCGCCGACUACAUCACCCUGGGGUACAACGGCGCGGGAGUCCGGCCUCCGGCGGUUCACACGUUCGGUUUCGGCACGGACCACGACGCGGCGGCCAUGCACACCAUCGCGGAGGCCACGGGUGGCACGUUUUCCUUCAUCCAGAACCAGGCGAUCGUCCAGGACGCGUUCGCGCAGUGCAUCGGUGGGCUCCUCACGGUCGUCGUGCAGGAGGCGCGUCUCGCGGUGACAUGCUUGCAUCCGGGCGUGCGCGUCCGCGAGGUCAAGUCCGGCCGCUACGACAGCCACGUGGACGACGAUGGCCGUGCUUCCUCGGUGGACGUCGGCGAGCUCUACGCCGACGAGGAGAGGCGCUUCUUGAUACUCAUGGACGUGCCAACGGCCGAAGACGCUGAAGAAGUCACCGGCCUGGUCAAGGUGAGCUGCACAUACCAGGAUGCGGCGACAGGGCAGGCGGCCACCGUCGACGGAGACGACGCGGUGGUCCAGAGGCCCGUCGAGGUGACCGGGGUGGAGCCGUCCAUGGAGGUGGAGCGCGAGCGCCUCCGGGUGGCGGCAACCGAAGACAUGGCGGCGGCACGCGAGGCGGCUGAUCGCGGAGAACAUGCCGAGGGCGGACGGAUACUGCGGAGACGAGUGGCGGCUAUGAAGUGCUCGGCGCGCGCUCACAAAGACCUUGACUGCGAGGAGCUGGAGGACGAAAUGCACGACUACAUCGGUCUCGUGGAAGACAGGCAGCAGUACCAGAAGUUUGGGCACGCGCGCAUCCUGUCGGGCAUGAGCUCGCACCGGAAGCAGCGCGCCGCCACGGUGGGGAAGGCGCCUGGCAGUGGUCGGGCGGCUUACGCGACUCCGGCAAUGAAGAAGAUGGUGGACAAGUCACGCGAGCAGCGGCAGACCGCAGCGGCGCCGGCGCCACAGCCGAAGAGGAAGCACGGCAGAGGGCAGCAGCCAGACAGCAAGAGCGGCACAGGGAAACGUCACAAAAAGCAUUAA